This 433-nucleotide ribosomal RNA is filed under the name uncultured bacterium. RNAcentral's name for it is "partial 16S ribosomal RNA". It matches the Rfam family "Bacterial small subunit ribosomal RNA", at positions 29 to 507 of the family's 1533-position model. The record is from RNAcentral.
AACGAACGCUGGCGGCAGGCCUAACACAUGCAAGUCGAGCGAGGACUUCGGUUCUAGCGGCGGACGGGUGAGUAACGCGUGGGAAUGUGCCCUUCUCUACGGAAUAGCCCUGGGAAACUGGGAGUAAUACAGUAUACGCCCUUUUGGGGAAAGAUUUAUCGGAGAAGGAUCAGCCCGCGUUGGAUUAGGUAGUUGGUGGGGUAAUGGCCUACCAAGCCGACGAUCCAUAGCUGGUUUGAGAGGAUGAUCAGCCACACUGGGACUGAGACACGGCCCAGACUCCUACGGGAGGCAGCAGUGGGGAAUCUUAGACAAUGGGGGCAACCCUGAUCUAGCCAUGCCGCGUGAGUGAUGAAGGCCUUAGGGUUGUAAAGCUCUUUCAGCUGGGAAGAUAAUGACGGUACCAGCAGAAGAAGCCCCGGCUAACUCCGUG